This 376-nucleotide long non-coding RNA is filed under the name Salmo salar (Atlantic salmon). Its description in RNAcentral is "lncRNA (ENSSSAG00000109580.1)". The record is from RNAcentral. Lineage: Eukaryota; Metazoa; Chordata; Actinopteri; Salmoniformes; Salmonidae.
GAGAGAGAGCGAGAGAAAGGGAGCGAGAGAAAGGGAGAGAGAGCGAGAGAAAGGGAGAGAGAGCGAGAGAAAGGGAGAGAGAGCGAGAGAAAGGGAGAGCGAGCGAGCGAAAGGGCGAGAGAAAGGGAGAGAGCGAGAGAAAGGGAGAGAGAGCGAGAGAAAGAGAGAGAGGGAGCGAGAGACAGAAAGGGAGAGAGAGGGAGCGAGAGACAGAAAGGGAGAGAGAGGGAGCGAGAGAGAGAGGGAGCGCGAGAGAGAGAAAGGGAGAGAGAGAGAGAGGGAGCGCGAGAGAGAGAAAGGGAGAGAGGGAGCGAGAGAGAGAAAGGGAGCGAGAGGAAGCGAGAGAGAGAAAGGGAGCGAGAGGGAGCGAGAGAGA